Non-coding RNA from Peromyscus maniculatus bairdii (prairie deer mouse), 453 nucleotides. NCBI's taxonomy places the organism in Eukaryota, Metazoa, Chordata, Mammalia, Rodentia, Cricetidae. The record is from RefSeq and is a predicted model, not a curated record.
GGAUGAACUGCAGAUAUCAUGGGAACUGACAUUGCUUCCCUGCUAAUCAGCUCUCCUCAUAAUACACUAGAAGUCAAGUUGAUCUUUGCAGGAGCCUCUGCUGGGAUACAAGGGAAGCCCUUCAGCAACCCAUUCUUCCAAAGCCAGAGUUCUUUCCCCCAUUGAUUGGACAUCCUUUAGUUCUUUCCAGGUGUGGAAGUGAAUGUUUAUCUCCUACUGAAAUUUUAUGCACACAAGGUCAGAAGAAGCUCCUUCAACCUGAGAGCAAAGUAGCACAUUAAAUUCCAGAACAUGAAACAGGCCAUUUUGAGCUACACCAAAAGCUAUCCAAGGAGAAUAUGGUCUGAAAUAACCACAGGUGAACAUCUUUUCUGGGAACAGAGGAAUCAGAUGCUGAACUUACCAAAAAUGCUGAAAAUGAUGCUUUGUAGCAGAGAAUCACUUCACUUGGCU